RNAcentral lists this ribosomal RNA (253 nucleotides) under uncultured bacterium. RNAcentral describes it as "partial 16S ribosomal RNA". It matches the Rfam family "Bacterial small subunit ribosomal RNA", at positions 524 to 776 of the family's 1533-position model. The record is from RNAcentral.
UACGGGGGGGGCAAGCGUUGUUCGGAAUUACUGGGCGUAAAGGGCUCGUAGGUGGCCAACUAAGUCAGACGUGAAAUCCCUCGGCUUAACCGGGGAACUGCGUCUGAUACUGGAUGGCUAGAGAUUGGGAGAGGGAUGCGGAAUUCCAGGUGUAGCGGUGAAAUGCGUAGAUAUCUGGAGGAACACCGGUGGCGAAGGCGGCGUCCUGGACCAACACUGACGCUGAGGAGCGAAAGCCAGGGGAGCAAACGGG